GCCAGCAUGGCAUAGUGGUUUGAGUGUUGGAUUAUGACUCUGGAGACUACGGUUCAAUUCCCAGCUCAGCCA
This 72-nucleotide transfer RNA is filed under the name Phrynosoma platyrhinos (Desert horned lizard). Its description in RNAcentral is "tRNA-OTHER". The record is from RNAcentral. Lineage: Eukaryota; Metazoa; Chordata; Lepidosauria; Squamata; Phrynosomatidae.